RNAcentral lists this ribosomal RNA (507 nucleotides) under uncultured bacterium. RNAcentral describes it as "bacterial SSU rRNA". It matches the Rfam family "Bacterial small subunit ribosomal RNA", at positions 30 to 525 of the family's 1533-position model. The record is from RNAcentral.
AUUGAACGCUGGCGGCAUGCCUUACACAUGCAAGUCGAACGGUAACAGGUCUUCGGAUGCUGACGAGUGGCGAACGGGUGAGUAAUACAUCGGAACGUGCCCGAUCGUGGGGGAUAACGCAGCGAAAGCUGUGCUAAUACCGCAUACGAUCUACGGAUGAAAGCGGGGGAUCGCAAGACCUCGCGCGGACGGAGCGGCCGAUGGCAGAUUAGGUAGUUGGUGGGAUAAAAGCUUACCAAGCCGACGAUCUGUAGCUGGUCUGAGAGGACGACCAGCCACACUGGGACUGAGACACGGCCCAGACUCCUACGGGAGGCAGCAGUGGGGAAUUUUGGACAAUGGGGGAAACCCUGAUCCAGCCAUGCCGCGUGCAGGAUGAAGGCCUUCGGGUUGUAAACGUGCUUUGUACGGUAACGAAAAGGUACCGUUUACUAAUUAAAGAAGGGCGUCAUGACGGUACCGUAAGAAUAAGCACCGGCUAACUACGUGCCAGCAGCCGCGGUAACU